UACGUAGGGUGCAAGCGUUAAUCGGAAUUACUGGGCGUAAAGCGUGCGCAGGCGGUUAUGUAAGACAGAUGUGAAAUCCCCGGGCUCAACCUGGGAACUGCAUUUGUGACUGCAAGGCUAGAGUACGGCAGAGGGGGAUGGAAUUCCGCGUGUAGCAGUGAAAUGCGUAGAUAUGCGGAGGAACACCGAUGGCGAAGGCAAUCCCCUGGGCCUGUACUGACGCUCAUGCACGAAAGCGUGGGGAGCAAACGGG
This 253-nucleotide ribosomal RNA is filed under the name uncultured bacterium. Its description in RNAcentral is "partial 16S ribosomal RNA". It matches the Rfam family "Bacterial small subunit ribosomal RNA", at positions 524 to 776 of the family's 1533-position model. The record is from RNAcentral.